AACCUUAUGGACCUGCGGGCGUAUACCUGCGGAAGGAUCAUUACAGAGUUGCAAAACUCCCUAAACCAUUGUGAACGUUACCUAAACCGUUGCUUCGGCGGGCGGCCCGGGUCCUUCCCGGCGCCCAUCGGCCCUCGCGGGCGCCCGCCGGAGGUAAACCAAACUAUUGCAUUGUAUGGCCUCUCUGAGUCUUCUGUACUGAAUAAGUCAAAACUUUCAACAACGGAUCUCAGAUCGGAA
Molecule: unclassified non-coding RNA, 240 nt
Filed under: soil metagenome
Description: partial contains 5.8S ribosomal RNA, internal transcribed spacer 2, and large subunit ribosomal RNA
Source: RNAcentral